AUACCUUUCUCCGCCUUUUGGCUAACAUCAAGUGUAGUAUCUGUUCUUAUCAGUUUAAUAUCUGAUACGUGGGUCAAUGACCCACUACAGUAGCUUGCUGCUGGGAUCAGGGCCGUCUUGAAAACUUU
This is a small nuclear RNA of Beta vulgaris subsp. vulgaris (sugar beet), 128 nucleotides long. It matches the Rfam family "U2 spliceosomal RNA". Rfam says of the family: U2 is a small nuclear RNA (snRNA) component of the spliceosome (involved in pre-mRNA splicing). Complementary binding between U2 snRNA (in an area lying towards the 5' end but 3' to hairpin I) and the branchpoint sequence (BPS) of the intron results the bulging out of an unpaired adenosine, on the BPS, which initiates a nucleophilic attack at the intronic 5' splice site, thus starting the first of two transesterification reactions that mediate splicing. Lineage: Eukaryota; Viridiplantae; Streptophyta; Magnoliopsida; Caryophyllales; Amaranthaceae. The record is from Rfam.